RNAcentral lists this microRNA precursor (67 nucleotides) under Bombyx mori (domestic silkworm). RNAcentral describes it as "mir-2774 microRNA precursor family". It matches the Rfam family "mir-2774 microRNA precursor family". The record is from Rfam by way of RNAcentral. Lineage: Eukaryota; Metazoa; Arthropoda; Insecta; Lepidoptera; Bombycidae.
ACAACAUUCGGACUAUCGGUCUACCGAGCAAUGAUACCCGCACGGUGGAAGAUCUUGCCUUUAUCGU